AACGUAGGGCCCGAGCGUUAUCCGGAUUCACUGGGUGUAAAGGGUGCGUAGGCGGGCGUGCGCGUCUGGGGUGAAAGGCUUCGGCUCAACCGGAGACAUGCCCUGGGUACGGCACGUCUUGGGUGCGGGAGAGGUCGAUGGAAUUCCUGGUGUAGCGGUGAAAUGCGUAGAUAUCAGGAGGAACACCGGUGGCGAAGGCGGUCGCCUGGCCCGCAACCGACGCUGAGGCACGAAAGCGUGGGGAGCAAACAGG
RNAcentral lists this ribosomal RNA (253 nucleotides) under uncultured bacterium. RNAcentral's name for it is "partial 16S ribosomal RNA". It matches the Rfam family "Bacterial small subunit ribosomal RNA", at positions 524 to 776 of the family's 1533-position model. The record is from RNAcentral.